UUUCAUAGGCAUUAAAAGCACAGCCCAAAACCAAAGUCAAAGGAAGUGACAGUGUUGAAGUUGUGUCAGACACUUCACAGUCAUCAAAAGCUUCUGUAACAAAGCACAAAGGCCAAAAGGAAAAAACAGACACUGAGGCCACAACUCAUGCCUGUCAUGAUGACAUUGUACAGGCUUCAUGGAAUUCAAAGGACAGUGAAGUAGUAGUUGCAGUGGUGAAGUCACUUGGCACGGAUGCAAUAUAUACAUUGCACAUAUCAGAUUUCAAAAGCCUCAAACCACACAACUGGUUGAAUGGGGAGGUUAUUGAAUGCUACUUCCAAACACUGUUGAAUUCAAAAGACUGUGGAAGAAAAAUAUUUUUAUUCAACCACUACUAUUUGGGGAGAGGUCUGCAAUGUCAAAUUACAGUUACAAAAAGGUCAACUUUGAGAACUAUGAAGCCAUCAUUGGAUUCAUGCAAGUAAACAGUAACCACUGGAAAUUUCUGUAUCUCAAUAGGACAUUGCAGAAAGCCUUUGUGGUGGAUCCCCAAGGGAAUAAUGAAUAAAAAGAUUCCGAACUUGCUUUCAAAAGAUUCAGACAAUACUUCAAGAUGCGGCAGAUAGUUCAUAAUAAAACAGACUGGGUGGAUUUGAAAUGGACAACAGGUGUCUUGCCCCACAGCAUACAGAGAGAUGGUUACAGCUGUGGCAUAUAUGUCAUGCAGAUGGCUAAGGAGACAGUGGAGGCUUUUCAAUGACACCAUCUGAAAUCGUCAUACCUUCCAAUAAGCACCUCCUGUCAGAGCUGCGUAAGCAGAUGGCUGUAACAAUCCUAGAAUCAUCAGUAUUCAACCCCAAACAGCAUUGCUCCCUGUGUGGAAAAGAGUCUCCAGUUGGAAGCGUGGGUCUGAACAUAUGGAUUCAGUGCAGCAACUGUGAAAGAUGGUACCACUCUGUCUGUCUUGGAAUGACGAAAAAAGAGGUACACAAAUGGAAGACAAGAAAGUGGUUGUGUGUUUUCUGUAAGUAAAAAGUACUUUAUAAGUGUAGGUGUUAAAAUAUAUUGUUUAAUCUUGUUUAUUUUUUGUUGUUGUUGUUUUUUGUUUUGAUCAGUUCCUUAUAAAUGUUAAAAUCAGUAAAUUUUAAAAUCAGUAUAAAUUUUUGAUCAGUGUAUAAAUACCAGUUCAGUCAAAAGGGCUAUUGUACUGUUGGCUGUGGUUGUUUCAAUUUAGUCUACAGUAUCAACAGAAAAAUUCUGCAUUACAUACAUUUUGUAAUUGUCAGGAUGUUAAUAAGAUACAAUUUGUAAAUGCAACUACCUUGUGCAACAGUAAGGAUUAAAUGUGAGAUUGUGUAAAAU
Molecule: long non-coding RNA, 1344 nt
Organism: Carassius carassius (crucian carp)
Lineage: Eukaryota; Metazoa; Chordata; Actinopteri; Cypriniformes; Cyprinidae
Exons: 10
Source: RefSeq, a predicted model, not a curated record